GUCUACGGCCAUGCCACCCUGAACAAGCCUGAUCCCGUCUGAUCUCGGAAGCUAAGCAGGAUGCGGCCUGGUUAGUACUUGGAUGGGAGACCACCUAGGAAGACCAGGUGCUGUGGGUG
RNAcentral lists this ribosomal RNA (119 nucleotides) under Pteropus alecto (black flying fox). The record is from RNAcentral. Lineage: Eukaryota; Metazoa; Chordata; Mammalia; Chiroptera; Pteropodidae.